AUUUGAUUAUUUCUAUAGUUGAAAUACAACGAUGGUUUUUCAGAUCAUUAGUCAUGGUAGGAGUCCAUGUGGAAGUAAU
RNAcentral lists this transfer RNA (79 nucleotides) under Loxodonta africana (African savanna elephant). RNAcentral describes it as "tRNA-Glu". Lineage: Eukaryota; Metazoa; Chordata; Mammalia; Proboscidea; Elephantidae. The record is from RNAcentral.